UACAGAGGGGGCAAGCGUUGUUCGGAAUUACUGGGCGUAAAGGGCGCGUAGGCGGCCUUCUAAGUCGAACGUGAAAUCCCCGGGCUCAACCCGGGAACUGCGUCCGAUACUGGAAGGCUUGAAUCCGGGAGAGGGAUGCGGAAUUCCAGGUGUAGCGGUGGAAUGCGCAGAGUAUCAAGGAGGAACACCGGUGGCGAAGGCGGGUCUCCUGGGCCGAUACUGACGCUGAGGAGCGAAAGCGUGGGGAGCGAACAGGA
This 257-nucleotide ribosomal RNA is filed under the name uncultured bacterium. RNAcentral describes it as "partial 16S ribosomal RNA". It matches the Rfam family "Bacterial small subunit ribosomal RNA", at positions 524 to 777 of the family's 1533-position model. The record is from RNAcentral.